AUACGGAGGGUCCGAGCGUUAAUCGGAAUUACUGGGCGUAAAGCGUACGUAGGUGGCUUGAUAAGUCGGAUGUGAAAGCCCAGGGCCCAACCUUGGAACUGCAUUCGAUACUGUUUAACUAGAGUACAGUAGAGGCAAGUGGAAUUUCCUGUGUAGCGGUGAAAUGCGUAGAUAUAGGAAGGAACAUCAGUGGCGAAGGCGACUUGCUGGACUGAUACUGACGCUGAGGAGCGAAAGCGUGGGGAGCGAACGGGAUUAGAUACCCGAGUAGUCC
Molecule: ribosomal RNA, 274 nt
Filed under: uncultured bacterium
Lineage: Bacteria
Description: partial 16S ribosomal RNA
Rfam family: Bacterial small subunit ribosomal RNA
Source: RNAcentral